AUGCAGCGCGCCGCCGUAAGGUUUGCUUCCAUGGCCACCCGCCGAUUCGCUGCGUCGGCCACCCGCCCGGGGCUCCCAACUGGCGCGGCGCCUCUUCGGCCUGCCGCGGCGGUGGUCAACGGCACCUCGCGAUUAUCCCUCCAGCCAACUGUUGCUGCUGCCGCGGCGGCUGUGUGUGCCCGGCGCGGGUACGCCGGCACGUCUCGGGAGACGAAGACGGUCGGCGAGGAGGACGAUGAUGACGACGGCGACUUCUUCGACGAUGUGUCCUGCGACGAGGACUCCGAAGGCGACUCCGACAGCGACGAUUUGGAGGACGCUGAUCUGUAUGCUUCCGGAAGUGACUAG
RNAcentral lists this ribosomal RNA (348 nucleotides) under Triticum aestivum (bread wheat). Its description in RNAcentral is "partial small subunit ribosomal RNA". The record is from RNAcentral. Lineage: Eukaryota; Viridiplantae; Streptophyta; Magnoliopsida; Poales; Poaceae.